GCUGAAAGCAUCUAAGUGGGAAGCCCACCUCAAGAUGAGUACUCUCGUGGUGUAAACCAGUAAGGUCACGGGAAGAACACCCGUUAAUAGGCGUUAGGUGGAAGAGCAGCAAUGUUUGCAGCCGAGACGUGCUAACAGACCGAGGGCUUGACCAA
Molecule: ribosomal RNA, 155 nt
Filed under: Pleurocapsa sp. HA4230
Lineage: Bacteria; Bacillati; Cyanobacteriota; Cyanophyceae; Pleurocapsales; Pleurocapsaceae
Description: partial 23S ribosomal RNA
Rfam family: Bacterial large subunit ribosomal RNA
Source: RNAcentral